UGGCCCAGAUCGUUUACCGUGAAAAAAUUAGAGUGUUCAAAGCGGGCAGAUAUUUUUCCUGCCACCGAAUACAUUAGCAUGGGAUAAUGGAAUAGGACCCUGACCUCCUAUUUUCAGUUGGUUUUGUUUACAGCGAGGUUAUAUCAGGGUAAUGAUUAAUAGGGAUAGUUGGGGGCAUUAAUAUUUAAUUGUCAGAGGUGAAAUUCUUGGAUUUAUGAAAGAUUAACUUCUGCGAAAGCGUUUGCCAAGGAUGUUUUCAUUAAUCAAGAACGAAAGUUAGGGGAUCGAAGACGAUCAGAUACCGUCGUAGUCUUAACCAWAAACGAUGCCGACCAGCGAUUAGGAGACGUUGAAUACAAAACACCGCUGUUAAUCCUCCGGGUAWWYCCAG
This 391-nucleotide ribosomal RNA is filed under the name Acanthamoeba sp. Its description in RNAcentral is "SSU rRNA". It matches the Rfam family "Eukaryotic small subunit ribosomal RNA", at positions 750 to 1114 of the family's 1831-position model. Lineage: Eukaryota; Discosea; Longamoebia; Acanthamoebidae. The record is from RNAcentral.